This 506-nucleotide ribosomal RNA is filed under the name uncultured bacterium. RNAcentral describes it as "partial 16S ribosomal RNA". It matches the Rfam family "Bacterial small subunit ribosomal RNA", at positions 29 to 523 of the family's 1533-position model. The record is from RNAcentral.
AGUGAACGCUGGCGGUAGGCCUAACACAUGCAAGUCGAACGGCAGCACAGAGGAGCUUGCUCCUUGGGUGGCGAGUGGCGGACGGGUGAGGAAUACAUCGGAAUCUACUCUGUCGUGGGGGAUAACGGAGGGAAACUUACGCUAAUACCUCAUACGACCUACGGGUGAAAGCAGGGGAUCUUCGGACCUUGCGCGAUUGAAUGAGCCGAGGUCGGAUUAGCUAGUUGGCGGGGUAAAGGCCCACCAAGGCGACGAUCCGUAGGUGGUCUGAGAGGAUGAUCAGCCACACUGGAACUGAGACACGGUCCAGACUCCUUCGGGAGGCAGCAGUGGGGAAUAUUGGACAAUGGGCGCAAGCCUGAUCCAGCCAUACCGCGUGGGUGAAGAAGGCCUUCGGGUUGUAAAGCCCUUUUGUUGGGAAAGAAAUCCAUCUGGUUAAUACCCGGGUGGGAUGACGGUACCCAAAGAAUAAGCACCGGCUAACUUCGUGCCAGCAGCCGCCGUAA